GAAUUAAUAUGCCCCUGUUUAAGCUGCUAACUUAAAACCGAAACGGUUUAACUCCGUUUUUAAUUCA
Molecule: transfer RNA, 67 nt
Filed under: Psococerastis albimaculata
Lineage: Eukaryota; Metazoa; Arthropoda; Insecta; Psocodea; Psocidae
Description: tRNA-Ser
Source: RNAcentral